UUUAUAAAUAAACUAACGUGCUUUGAAGACUGGAAGUUGCGAUCAAAAUAAAAAAAAAAUCUUUUCACUCUAAAAAUCAAUUUUUUUUGACGCAUAAAUUAACUUCUAUUCUAUUGGAAAAUAUUUAUUGUCAACUUUGAAUGAAAAAUAAUAGAUCAGAAUUUGAAAAUUAUAAUUAAAAAUUAAUUUAAAAAAAGAGGAUUGAAGUUAUAAAUAGUUGGUGAUAAGAAUAAGUGGACAUUUCAUUGACUGAUAAGGAAUAUAUACUUUGUUGAUUAUAUAUAUAUAAAAAGAAAAGAGAAAGAAUAUAGGAAAAAAAAAUUUCUUCCACUUUUGUCCAAUUGAAUUUUCCAGUUUGUAUUAUAGUAAUCUUAUCGAACUUUUUAUUAACAUGAUUUUAUUUAUAAACUUCUCUCGUGUAAAAUUAAAAUAUUGUUUAGUAGGAUUGAAUUUAUGGAAGAAAAUUUUGAGUCGUGAGAGAAAAUAAAAUUGGGCAAUAAAAAGAAUCUUUAGGGGUAAAAAAAAUGUCGUUUAUAAUUAUAUUUUUGGCCGCAAUUUCCGUCUUCUUCACGUUGAGUCUCAUCUAAAUUAAGAGAUCAAACAAGUAUGUCGGUGUAUAGUUUAUACUCGCCAAAAGUCAUGUCGCAAGUUGAAAACUAUGUGAUUUGAUUCGGCGAUCACGAGUAGAAUCGAGGAAAAAUAAUAAGCAGCGAAUGGAAGUGACCAAUGGAUAUUUUACUUUAUCAGACAAAAAAAAUUUUCUUUCUACUAUUAAUUCGUCAAAAAAAAGGGAAACGAAGAAAUGCUAAUCAAAGCAGAAGUAUUCGAUGAUAGUGACAAUAAUAACGAGUUGAAUAUUAGGAGAAGAAAAAAAAAUAAACGUGCAAGUUAUAACGACGAGUGUUUAUUUCCGAGUGUGUUGUAUUUUAUCAGUCAGGUGUCAUUGUCAUUGUGUAGGAGAGAAAAUAAUAGAAUAUGCAGAUGAGAGAGGAAUUCUCAUCCACCCUUAUAAAGGAAGCUGUGAGUUUACAGUAAAAAUAAAAAAAGAAAAAUCAGCGGAUAGAGGAGAAAUAAAAGGAGACGUGGAUUCGUCUCCUUUUUUUGGCAACUGGAAUGCAGAAUAAGAUGCAAAACUUUGCAAACGUGUUCAAGAAGAAGGCAGGUGACGCGUUUAUAAAAAAAAUGUUUUUUUUCACGUGGGAUGAAAAUCAAUUCCAUUGUUUUUAAAUUCUCCAACACUUCUAAAAAGAAUCGUUACUUUUUAUAUUUUUAGACAAAUAUUUUUCAAAAUUCAGUUAUCGAAAGAAAAAGAAA
This is a long non-coding RNA of Leptopilina heterotoma, 1314 nucleotides long. RefSeq lists it as uncharacterized. The transcript is spliced from 3 exons. The record is from RefSeq and is a predicted model, not a curated record. Lineage: Eukaryota; Metazoa; Arthropoda; Insecta; Hymenoptera; Figitidae.